RNAcentral lists this transfer RNA (72 nucleotides) under Camelus bactrianus (Bactrian camel). It matches the Rfam family "tRNA". Rfam says of the family: Transfer RNA (tRNA) molecules are approximately 80 nucleotides in length. Their secondary structure includes four short double-helical elements and three loops (D, anti-codon, and T loops). Lineage: Eukaryota; Metazoa; Chordata; Mammalia; Artiodactyla; Camelidae. The record is from Rfam by way of RNAcentral. RNAcentral also lists the same sequence under 2 other names.
GUGGAUAUAGCUCAGUGGUAGAGUGUGUGCUUAGCGUGCACGAGGUCCUGGGUUCAAUCCCCAGUCCCUCCA